Molecule: ribosomal RNA, 754 nt
Filed under: uncultured bacterium
Lineage: Bacteria
Description: bacterial SSU rRNA
Rfam family: Bacterial small subunit ribosomal RNA
Source: RNAcentral
GUUUGAUUAUGGCUCAGAACGAACGCUGGCGGCAUGCCUAACACAUGCAAGUCGAACGAACCCUUCGGGGUUAGUGGCGCACGGGUGCGUAACGCGUGGGAACCUGCCUUUAGGUUCGGAAUAACAGUUAGAAAUGACUGCUAAUACCGGAUAAUGUCUUCGGACCAAAGAUUUAUUGCCUUUAGAUGGGCCCGCGUUGGAUUAGAUAGUUGGUGGGGUAAUGGCCUACCAAGUCGACGAUCCAUAGCUGGUCUGAGAGGAUGAUCAGCCACACUGGGACUGAGACACGGCCCAGACUCCUACGGGAGGCAGCAGUGGGGAAUAUUGGACAAUGGGCGAAAGCCUGAUCCAGCAAUGCCGCGUGAGUGAUGAAGGCCUUAGGGUUGUAAAGCUCUUUUACCAGGGAUGAUAAUGACAGUACCUGGAGAAUAAGCUCCGGCUAACUCCGUGCCAGCAGCCGCGGUAAUACGGAGGGAGCUAGCGUUGUUCGGAAUUACUGGGCGUAAAGCGCACGUAGGCGGCUUUUCAAGUCAGGGGUGAAAUCCCGGGGCUCAACCCCGGAACUGCCCUUGAAACUGGAUGGCUAGAAUACUGGAGAGGUGAGUGGAAUUCCGAGUGUAGAGGUGAAAUUCGUAGAUAUUCGGAAGACACCAGUGGCGAAGCGACUCACUGGACAGUUAUUGACGCUGAGGUGCGAAAGCGUGGGGGAGCAAACAGGAUUAGAUACCCUGGUAGUCCACGCCGUAAACGAUGA